Molecule: non-coding RNA, 31 nt
Filed under: Rattus norvegicus (Norway rat)
Lineage: Eukaryota; Metazoa; Chordata; Mammalia; Rodentia; Muridae
Source: RNAcentral
UGCUUACACUGUACUGUGUAGAUAUUUGCCU